RNAcentral lists this long non-coding RNA (362 nucleotides) under Homo sapiens (human). Its description in RNAcentral is "non-protein coding H1FX-AS1:11". The record is from RNAcentral. Lineage: Eukaryota; Metazoa; Chordata; Mammalia; Primates; Hominidae.
UGGUGGCCACAGCUGGAGUGACCGCAGUGUACAGAGAUGGGAUGGGAGCAGGAAACCCAAAAGAGCCGGCCCUGGAACCAGGUGGAGGGGAGGCAGCCCGGCCAUGACCCAGAGCAGGACACCUGCUCCACUUCACCUUUUGCCAUGAGUAAAAGCUCCCUGAGGCCUCCCAAGAAGUUGAUGCCCUGUGCUUCCUGUACAGCUGCGGAACCGGAUGGCUUUCCGUGGCUUUGCUACAGCCACUCCUGGAAGUGCUGCCUGACUGAAUCCUCAGGGCACCCCGGCAGGAUGGACGUGGUGUACCCCCUACUUUACAGAUGGGGAAACUGAGGCUUGAGAGCUAAAGCAGCCCACCCAGCUCC